UACGUAGGGUGCAAGCGUUAAUCGGAAUUACUGGGCGUAAAGCGUGCGCAGGCGGUUUUGUAAGUCUGUCGUGAAAUCCCCGGGCUCAACCUGGGAAUUGCGAUGGAGACUGCAAGGCUAGAAUCUGGCAGAGGGGGGUAGAAUUCCACGUGUAGCAGUGAAAUGCGUAGAGAUGUGGAGGAACACCGAUGGCGAAGGCAGCCCCCUGGGUCAAGAUUGACGCUCAUGCACGAAAGCUUGGGGAGCAAACAGG
RNAcentral lists this ribosomal RNA (253 nucleotides) under uncultured bacterium. RNAcentral describes it as "partial 16S ribosomal RNA". It matches the Rfam family "Bacterial small subunit ribosomal RNA", at positions 524 to 776 of the family's 1533-position model. The record is from RNAcentral.